AGUAACGGCGAGUGAAGCGGCAACAGCUCAAAUUUGAAAUCUGGCCUCUUUGGGGUCCGAGUUGUAAUUUGGAGAGGAUGUUUCGGGUACGGUCCGGGCUUAAAUCUCUUGGAACAGAAUGUCACAGAGGAUGAGAAUCCCGUCUGGAGUUCGGACACGGCCUAUGUGAAGCUCCUUCGACGAGUCGAGUUGUUUGGGA
RNAcentral lists this ribosomal RNA (199 nucleotides) under Cyphellophora suttonii. RNAcentral's name for it is "partial large subunit ribosomal RNA". It matches the Rfam family "Eukaryotic large subunit ribosomal RNA", at positions 82 to 279 of the family's 3401-position model. The record is from RNAcentral. Lineage: Eukaryota; Fungi; Ascomycota; Eurotiomycetes; Chaetothyriales; Cyphellophoraceae.